This 209-nucleotide long non-coding RNA is filed under the name Lathyrus oleraceus (garden pea). Its description in RNAcentral is "Pisum sativum (pea) long non-coding RNA (PSAT_LNC026334)". The record is from RNAcentral. Lineage: Eukaryota; Viridiplantae; Streptophyta; Magnoliopsida; Fabales; Fabaceae.
AAAGAGAUUAUACCUCAAGCAAGUUGCUAAAAAGCAAAGCAAAGCAAGUUCAGAGAACUUAAGCAACUAAGGGUACCUGAAAAAGUCAAGCUAAUCAGUAAACAGUUCAACAGUUCAAAUCAAAAGGAAGUGAAUCAAACAGUUAGAUCAAUAAACAGAAGUGCAAAAGCACCAAACCCAACCCAUAUGAGUCAUACCACCUACAAAAC